This 497-nucleotide ribosomal RNA is filed under the name uncultured bacterium. RNAcentral's name for it is "partial 16S ribosomal RNA". It matches the Rfam family "Bacterial small subunit ribosomal RNA", at positions 28 to 507 of the family's 1533-position model. The record is from RNAcentral.
GAUGAACGCUGGCGGCGUGCCUAAUACAUGCAAGUCGAGCGGACGGACGAGAAGCUUGCUUCUCUGAUGUUAGCGGCGGACGGGUGAGUAACACGUGGAUAACCUACCUAUAAGACUGGGAUAACUUCGGGAAACCGGAGCUAAUACCGGAUGAUAUUUUGAACCGCAUGGUUCAAAAGUGAAAGACGGUCUUGCUGUCACUUAUAGAUGGAUCCGCGCUGCAUUAGCUAGUUGGUAAGGUAACGGCUUACCAAGGAAACGAUGCAUAGCCGACCUGAGAGGGUGAUCGGCCACACUGGAACUGAGACACGGUCCAGACUCCUACGGGAGGCAGCAGUAGGGAAUCUUCCGCAAUGGGCGAAAGCCUGACGGAGCAACGCCGCGUGAGUGAUGAAGGUCUUCGGAUCGUAAAACUCUGUUAUUAGGGAAGAACAUAUGUGUAAGUAACUGUGCACAUCUUGACGGUACCUAAUCAGAAAGCCACGGCUAACUACGUG